This is a long non-coding RNA of Dreissena polymorpha, 413 nucleotides long. RefSeq lists it as uncharacterized. The transcript is spliced from 3 exons. NCBI's taxonomy places the organism in Eukaryota, Metazoa, Mollusca, Bivalvia, Myida, Dreissenidae. The record is from RefSeq and is a predicted model, not a curated record.
AUACGUCGGCAUUGGGAUUGGUGUCUUUGUGUUGGUUCUCAUAGCUGCAGCAGUUAUUAUCAUCGCGUACAAGAAACGCCGCAGACAGCUGCAUACUGAAGAUCCAUAUUCCCGAUACACUCUAAAAGCUGAUAAAUGUGAUGUGCCCGCAGACAAGGAAAAUGUGCCGCCGCCCGUUCCACAUCGUGUCCAACGGAAGUCCAGACAUUUAUACCUCAGGCUGGAUGGUGACGUUUAUGAUGCAAUAGAGGACACCGUAAGCUCAGUAUUGCCGCCCAGACCCGCCCUGCCUACUCCGCCGGGCGACAAGAGCAGCGCAGACAACGAGUACAGUGUACCUUACACUGGUCUCUCCUUUGCUCCCAAGGGACAUACCGGCACCACUUAAUACAAAUGACAAUCUGUUACUUCCA